This 72-nucleotide transfer RNA is filed under the name Nanobdellota archaeon. RNAcentral describes it as "tRNA-Arg". It matches the Rfam family "tRNA". Rfam says of the family: Transfer RNA (tRNA) molecules are approximately 80 nucleotides in length. Their secondary structure includes four short double-helical elements and three loops (D, anti-codon, and T loops). The record is from RNAcentral. RNAcentral also lists the same sequence under 1 other name. Lineage: Archaea; Nanobdellati; Nanobdellota.
GCUCCUAUGGUGUAACGGAUAGCACACAACCUUGCGGAGGUUGUAAUCGGGGUUCGAAUCCUCGUGGGGGCA